UCAAGUUAAUAGAGAAUGAAAAGAAAGAGCAUUGAAAACCAGUAAUGAAGAUUUAUGAGCUAUCAUAUGCUAUAUCAUUCUUGUGUGGCUGGACUUUCAUUGAUGUUUUACGUACAUAUUUAUAUUGACUAUUUGAGCUUGUUGAUAGCCGGUUUAUGAUUUUAUGACAUGUGCAUUAAUUUCUUGUGGUUUUCAAAUCUAUAUUAUUAUUGUGUUGGUGUGGAUGUGUAGGGGUUCUUACUGGGCUGUAAAGCUCACCCCCUCUUCUUCUUUUUUUUUCUUUAUCAGAGUUGCAGGAUGCAUAGAUUUGGAUGGGAUGGGCGCAGAGUACAAGUACCAGAGUUAUUAGUUAGUUAGUUUGUUUAUCCUUCUUUGAUGUCGAUGAACAUUUGAAGACUUUGUAAUUGAACCAAUUUGUUUAUUUGGACAUAUCGGAUUUGUCUAUUUGAAUUAUUAUAUUAGUUGUAGAUUUAUUGGAAUUUUUGUUAAAUAAAUCUACCUCCAUCGUACCUCUUCUAUUUAGCCUUGUCCCUAUACAUAUUUGUGUUGGUAGAUAUCAAUCAGUUCAUAAGGGGGAAGAAAUUAACUAGGCACAAGGUCUAUACAGAAAAGAGAGCUCUAAGGUCAAGUUCUAGUGCUGGCCCGAGUUUAAUGGUGUUGGUCCAGUUAGAGUGGUUUUUGGCUUUAGUCCUCUCCAAGCAAAUAUAAUUAAUUAGAAACACAUCAAAACUCUUGAAUGUGAUCUGACUCUUUGAAAUUGAAAGAAGUAUGAGAUUUCUUCAAGUAGUGGAAAGGGAAUAAAAAGACCUCGUUCCUGGGAGAACAAGAGAUCAUGUCCUCCCUAAGUCCCAAGCACCUCCUAUCACAAGUAAGGGUAUUUUGAACGUCCGGUGGAUGUUUA
Molecule: long non-coding RNA, 901 nt
Filed under: Phoenix dactylifera (date palm)
Lineage: Eukaryota; Viridiplantae; Streptophyta; Magnoliopsida; Arecales; Arecaceae
Description: long non-coding RNA (PDAC_LNC017027)
Source: RNAcentral